CAGUAGCCACGGUAAUACAGAGGGUGCGAGCGUUAAUCGGAUUUACUGGGCGUAAAGCGUGCGUAGGCGGCUUUUUAAGUCGGAUGUGAAAUCCCUGAGCUUAACUUAGGAAUUGCAUUCGAUACUGGGAAGCUAGAGUAUAAGAGAGGAUGGUAGAAUUCCAGGUGUAGCGGUGAAAUGCGUAGAGAUCUGGAGGAAUACCGAUGGCGAAGGCAGCCAUCUGGCCUAAUACUGACGCUGAGGUACGAAAGCAUGGGGAGCAAACAGGAUUAGAUACCCCAGUAGUCCCUGUCUCUUAUAC
Molecule: ribosomal RNA, 301 nt
Filed under: uncultured bacterium
Lineage: Bacteria
Description: partial 16S ribosomal RNA
Rfam family: Bacterial small subunit ribosomal RNA
Source: RNAcentral